Molecule: non-coding RNA, 488 nt
Organism: Macaca mulatta (Rhesus monkey)
Lineage: Eukaryota; Metazoa; Chordata; Mammalia; Primates; Cercopithecidae
Source: RefSeq, a predicted model, not a curated record
AAAUAAAUCUAAUCCCUGAUGCUGCAUUAUGGCCAGAAAACCAAUGAACUUUCGGAGAAGAAAAAAGAAAGACUUGUUCUACCGUAUAUGAGGAUGUGCAAACUUUAAUAUCUUUUAUGGCAUUCUCAGAAGAGAGGAUUAGAUCAUUUGAACAAAAAGAGCUACAGAAGAGACCCAUAUGAAGAUACAAAAGAGGUUGCACUGUAGAGGGUUACAAAAAGCAUAGUCUUUUCAGUAAUGAUGCAGAGAUCAAUGAGCAUUCAUACGGAAAAAAGGAAAUUUGACCCUACAGAACAUCAUUCACAAAAAUCCAGAGGAAAAUUGACAAACAAAACGAAGUAGCAGUAAUUCAUCCUACUUCCAACAGCCUGUACUUGUGACGUCUCCAGUGGAGAGCAGAUGCCCAGGAAGGAGCUCUACCCCACAAGCUGAGGGUUCAAGAAUGCUUGUGUGGCUUUGAGAAAAUAAACCCCCAUCUGUAUGAUAAA